GUAAAUAUAGUUUAACAAAAACAUUAGAUUGUGAAUCUAACAAUAAAAGCUGAGACCUUUUUAUUUACC
RNAcentral lists this transfer RNA (69 nucleotides) under Taxidea taxus (American badger). RNAcentral's name for it is "tRNA-His". It matches the Rfam family "tRNA". Rfam says of the family: Transfer RNA (tRNA) molecules are approximately 80 nucleotides in length. Their secondary structure includes four short double-helical elements and three loops (D, anti-codon, and T loops). The record is from RNAcentral. Lineage: Eukaryota; Metazoa; Chordata; Mammalia; Carnivora; Mustelidae.